This 85-nucleotide transfer RNA is filed under the name bacterium. Its description in RNAcentral is "tRNA-Tyr". It matches the Rfam family "tRNA". From Rfam's summary of the family: Transfer RNA (tRNA) molecules are approximately 80 nucleotides in length. Their secondary structure includes four short double-helical elements and three loops (D, anti-codon, and T loops). The record is from RNAcentral.
GGUGAGGUUCCCGAGUGGCCAAAGGGGACGGACUGUAAAUCCGUUAGCUCAGCUUUCGUAGGUUCGAAUCCUACCCUCACCACCA